This 29-nucleotide non-coding RNA is filed under the name Mus musculus (house mouse). The record is from RNAcentral. Lineage: Eukaryota; Metazoa; Chordata; Mammalia; Rodentia; Muridae.
UCCAAGUUAUCAAGCGCCUCCCUGCCUGC